Molecule: transfer RNA, 68 nt
Filed under: Lepilemur wrighti
Lineage: Eukaryota; Metazoa; Chordata; Mammalia; Primates; Lepilemuridae
Description: Lepilemur wrightae tRNA-Lys
Rfam family: tRNA
About the family: Transfer RNA (tRNA) molecules are approximately 80 nucleotides in length. Their secondary structure includes four short double-helical elements and three loops (D, anti-codon, and T loops). Further hydrogen bonds mediate the characteristic L-shaped molecular structure. tRNAs have two regions of fundamental functional importance: the anti-codon, which is responsible for specific mRNA codon recognition, and the 3' end, to which the tRNAs corresponding amino acid is attached (by aminoacyl-tRNA synthetases). tRNAs cope with the degeneracy of the genetic code in two manners: having more than one tRNA (with a specific anti-codon) for a particular amino acid; and 'wobble' base-pairing, i.e. permitting non-standard base-pairing at the 3rd anti-codon position.
Source: RNAcentral
CACCGUGAAGCUAAAAAAGCAUUAACCUUUUAAGUUAAAGAAUGAAAGUGUAAGUCUUUCCACAGUGA